This 442-nucleotide ribosomal RNA is filed under the name uncultured bacterium. RNAcentral describes it as "partial 16S ribosomal RNA". It matches the Rfam family "Bacterial small subunit ribosomal RNA", at positions 338 to 795 of the family's 1533-position model. The record is from RNAcentral.
CCUACGGGAGGCAGCAGUAGGGAAUCUUUCACAAUGGGCGAAAGCCUGAUGGAGCAACGCCGCGUGCAGGAUGAAGGCCUUCGGGUUGUAAACUGCUUUUAUAAGCGAGAAAUAUGAUGGUAACUUAUGAAUAAGGAUCGGCUAACUACGUGCCAGCAGCCGCGGUCAUACGUAGGAUCCGAGCAUUAUCCGGAGUGACUGGGCGUAAAGAGUUGCGUAGGUGGCAUAAUAAGUAGCUAGUGAAAUCUGGUGGCUCAACCAUUCAGACUAUUAGCUAAACUGUUAAGCUCGAGACCGUUAGAGGUAACUGGAAUGUCUAGUGUAGGAGUGAAAUCCGUAGAUAUUAGAAAGAACACCGAUAGCGUAGGCAGGAUGCUGGGACGGUUCUGACACUAAGGCACGAAAGCGUAGGGAGCAAACGGGAUUAGAUACCCCAGUAGUC